ACUCCUACGGGGGGCAGCAGUCGAGAAUCUUCGGCAAUGAGCGAAAGCUUGACCGAGCGAUGCCGCGUGCGGGAUGAAGGCCCUCGGGUUGUAAACCGCUGUCAGUUGGGAGGAAGGAUUCGUGAAGAGCGAAUCUUGACCUAUCUUCAGAGGAAGUCCGGGCUAAGUUCGUGCCAGCAGCCGCGGUAA
Molecule: ribosomal RNA, 189 nt
Filed under: uncultured Planctomycetia bacterium
Lineage: Bacteria; Pseudomonadati; Planctomycetota; Planctomycetia
Description: partial 16S ribosomal RNA
Rfam family: Bacterial small subunit ribosomal RNA
Source: RNAcentral